UACGGGGGGGGCAAGCGUUGUUCGGAAUUACUGGGCGUAAAGGGCUUGUAGGUGGCUUGUUAAGUCCGAUGUGAAAUCCCUCAGCUUAACUGGGGAACUGCGUCUGAUACUGGCGAGCUUGAGUGCAGGAGAGGAACGCGGAAUUCCAGGUGUAGCGGUGAAAUGCGUAGAUAUCUGGAGGAACACCGGUGGCGAAGGCGGCGUUCUGGACUGCAACUGACGCUGAGAAACGAAAGCCAGGGUAGCAAACGGG
This 253-nucleotide ribosomal RNA is filed under the name uncultured bacterium. Its description in RNAcentral is "partial 16S ribosomal RNA". It matches the Rfam family "Bacterial small subunit ribosomal RNA", at positions 524 to 776 of the family's 1533-position model. The record is from RNAcentral.